Chlorocebus sabaeus (green monkey) is the source of this 315-nucleotide non-coding RNA. It matches the Rfam family "Metazoan signal recognition particle RNA". From Rfam's summary of the family: The signal recognition particle (SRP) is a universally conserved ribonucleoprotein. It is involved in the co-translational targeting of proteins to membranes. The eukaryotic SRP consists of a 300-nucleotide 7S RNA and six proteins: SRPs 72, 68, 54, 19, 14, and 9. The record is from Rfam. NCBI's taxonomy places the organism in Eukaryota, Metazoa, Chordata, Mammalia, Primates, Cercopithecidae.
GCUGGGCGAGGCGGCGGGCGCCUGUAGUCCCAGCUACUCGGGAGGCUGAGGCAGGAGAAUGGCGGGAACCCGGGGGGCGGAGCUUGCAGUGAGCCGAGAUCCGGCCACUGCACUCCAGCCCGGGCCUUGCCUGCGCACCUUAAGGUACAGCUGCGCGAUUCCGCACUGCUGCCUGAGAACUGGAUUGCCUUUUGUGACCUCUUUUUUUUUUUUUGAGACGGAGUCUCGCUCUGUCGCCCAGGCUGGAGUGCAGUGGCCGGAUCUCAGCUCACUGCAAGCUCCGCCUCCCGGGUUCAGGCCAUUCUCCUGCCUCAG